GAUGAACGCUGGCGGCGUGCCUAAUACAUGCCAGUCGAGCGAACAGACGAGGAGCUUGCUCCUCUGACGUUAGCGGCGGACGGGUGAGUAACACGUGGAUAACCUACCUAUAAGACUGGGAUAACUUCGGGAAACCGGAGCUAAUACCGGAUAAUAUAUUGAACCGCAUGGUUCAAUAGUGAAAGACGGUUUUGCUGUCACUUAUAGAUGGAUCCGCGCCGCAUUAGCUAGUUGGUAAGGUAACGGCUUACCAAGGCGACGAUGCGUAGCCGACCUGAGAGGGUGAUCGGCCACACUGGAACUGAGACACGGUCCAGACUCCUACGGGAGGCAGCAGUAGGGAAUCUUCCGCAAUGGGCGAAAGCCUGACGGAGCAACGCCGCGUGAGUGAUGAAGGUCUUCGGAUCGUAAAACUCUGUUAUUAGGGAAGAACAAAUGUGUAAGUAACUAUGCACGUCUUGACGGUACCGAAUCAGAAAGCCACGGCAAACUACGU
RNAcentral lists this ribosomal RNA (496 nucleotides) under uncultured bacterium. RNAcentral's name for it is "partial 16S ribosomal RNA". It matches the Rfam family "Bacterial small subunit ribosomal RNA", at positions 28 to 506 of the family's 1533-position model. The record is from RNAcentral.